AUGCAAAUCCACACCUGCUCUCAUUUCAGUGUAAAUGAGCCUGAUGCAUUUAGGUGUGACCACAACAUUUCAGCAGAAAGAUGUUUGCUGACAGUGCAGGAGGUUUUUGUACGGCCUCUUAAUGAGUUUGUAUCACUGUGGUUGACUUUUGGUGGAGGAACCAAACUUAUCGUUGACUUGGGUGUGGUGCCGCCCACCCUGACCGUCCUCCCCCCCUCCAAAGAGGAGGAGCAGCACAGCAGUGUCACACUGGUGUGUCUGGCCAGCGGGGGCUUCCCCUCCACCUGGAAGCUGGGAUGGAAGGUGGGGGGCAGCAACAGCUCCUCAGGGGUGUCUAACAGCCUGGAGGUCCUGGGGAGGGACGGCCUCUACAGCUGGAGCAGCACCCUGAGCCUCCCUGCAGACCAGUGGAGGAAGGCGGGCUCAGUGAGCUGUGAGGCCAAUCAGAGUGGACAGGAUCCUGUCACUCAAAGUCUGGACCCCGCCCACUGCUCAGAGUAGAGCUUCAGCUUCAUGUCUGGAAACCAGGAUGUUUUAUAUUUUAUUCAGGAAGAAAACUUUUCAAGUUUAGACAGAUUUCUUUUACUAUCACCUCUGUCCUGUUUGACAGCUUCAAGUUAAUGUGUAAAAUUCACCUUUAAUAAAACUACAGAUUUAAACA
Molecule: non-coding RNA, 661 nt
Organism: Girardinichthys multiradiatus
Lineage: Eukaryota; Metazoa; Chordata; Actinopteri; Cyprinodontiformes; Goodeidae
Source: the annotation of a RefSeq genome assembly